Molecule: non-coding RNA, 97 nt
Organism: Crucibulum laeve
Lineage: Eukaryota; Fungi; Basidiomycota; Agaricomycetes; Agaricales; Nidulariaceae
Source: the annotation of a GenBank genome assembly
GGCCCUGUAGCGCAUUGGUAGCGCAUCUGCAUGUCGUAGUUGCUUGUUCAUAUACUCCAUAGCAGAUUUGCACCCUGUUCGAACCAGGUCGGGGCCA